UACAGAGGUCUCAAGCGUUGUUCGGAUUCAUUGGGCGUAAAGCGCGUGUAGGCUGCUUCGCAAGUCGGAUGUGAAAGCCCUGGGCUCAACCCAGGAAGUGCAUUCGAAACUGCAGAGCUGGAGUCCUGGAGAGGAAGGCGGAAUUCUCGGUGUAGAGGUGAAAUUCGUAGAUAUCGAGAGGAACACCGGUGGCGAAGGCGGCCUUCUGGACAGUGACUGACGCUGAGACGCGAAAAGCGUGGGGAGCAAACAGG
Molecule: ribosomal RNA, 254 nt
Filed under: uncultured bacterium
Lineage: Bacteria
Description: partial 16S ribosomal RNA
Rfam family: Bacterial small subunit ribosomal RNA
Source: RNAcentral